Molecule: long non-coding RNA, 540 nt
Filed under: Homo sapiens (human)
Lineage: Eukaryota; Metazoa; Chordata; Mammalia; Primates; Hominidae
Description: HSALNT0111076
Source: RNAcentral
CAGAAGGUCUCUGGCUGUGUGUGUGUGUGCAUGCGCCUGUGUGUGUGAUGUAAAAACCAUUCUUGGCUCAAGGGCCAUAGAAAAACAAGUCUUUGGCUGCCUUCGUUUAUGGACCCCUGCUAAACUAAUCAUUUCAAAUGGGCUCUAACUAGCUGGUUUGAAAUUAGCUGGAACAACUUUAUUCAUCCACACUUGUGAAGACAAAUUGAAGGGCACUAAGGCCCCCCGCUGGUAAUUCAGAAGGGCAGGGGGAGAAAGGGCUCUCCCAGAGGUUAUCCCCUAACAUCUGAAGGUACCCUUGACUUUGCUUGGUUUUGUCUAAAGAAACCUGAACCUGGGAAGCUGGCCCCGCUGGACAGGGAACAUUUUAAAUAAAAACACUAAGACAACAAGGCCAGUUUAUUUUACAGUGACUCCUGAGGUAGUUUAUGUGGGAAACAGCAGGCAAGCCAUUAAAACCCUCUGGGGCUUAGUUCAUUCUGCACACGUCUCACUCUGGCAAAGGGAUUCCACAAACGCUAAGAGAACUUUAUUUUAAUA